RNAcentral lists this long non-coding RNA (1075 nucleotides) under Homo sapiens (human). Its description in RNAcentral is "non-protein coding lnc-SLC6A12-2:8". Lineage: Eukaryota; Metazoa; Chordata; Mammalia; Primates; Hominidae. The record is from RNAcentral.
AGAAGGGAAUUCUGGCAGAACCACUUCUGGACCUGUCCCUCUGCACCCCCCAUUCCUGCGCCCUCAUUUAACCUCCCUGACUCUGACCUGGGCUUGGUCUAUCUUGGGGCCUGGCUGCCGUCCUGGGACGGGAAGGGGAGCAGAUCAGAACUCAGCCUGCGGCUCCAGGCCGCUGGGCGCUGGCUGGGCCUCACGUUCUCCUGGAAGGACCACCUCCCUUGCCCUCCACGGGGUCUGCCUUUGCUCCCAAGGCUCCGCCCUGGACGGAGCGUCCUUCUUGCCUGGGCGUCUUCAGACCUUCAUCUGUGACACCGGGGGCCAUGUGGCUCACCCCGAGGAAGAGACGAGGACUCGCUGUGUUGGCUGUUCUUGAGCUUCUGGGCUCAAGCAAUCCUCCCUCCUGAGCUUCCCAGAGUGCUAGGAUUACAGUGAAGACUAAGGGCCAAGCAUGAGCCUUUCUUCCUGCUCUUUUACCCUUGAGGCAGCAGGAGAGGAUAUUCACCUCCUGACAUGACAGAUUCUGACGCUAUCUGCUCCUCUGUGACUUUGGGAAGCGGGGUAUGUGCUGCUCCUGGGCUGAUGGGGGAAAGUGCCUCUCCCAGCAAUGCUGGUGCCACUUGGUGUGCUACGGCCCCCCAGGGCAGUGCGGAGCCAUCUGGGACAGUUAGACAAUGAGAGACGUGAAGCCAUUUCAAGGUGCUUCCUUGAAAAUGCUCCAGAAAAACAGCAGAGGCGGCCUCUCUGGGGAUCCGGUCCAGCCCUUGAAAAGAAUCUGUUUGUUUCACCACUGAACUCAAAUAAGCCAACAGAUUGAAGGAAGGGAGUUUCCACGCGCCCCUCCCCACCAAGCAGUUACCUGAGUUCCAGAGUCCAGUCCGAUGGAUCCCAUUUUACCCUGGUUUAAAUUGUUUCCUUAGAAAAAAAUAAACAGAACCUCUUCUCUCACUCUCCAGUGGAAAGUAUAGAAUCAAACGUAAAUGAAAAUGACAGUUUCUAACAUGCGCGACCUGGACACGCGGCUGAACUCCGAGCCUCAGCUGCAGAGUGGGGUCAAUGCACCUACCUUGCAGCGUCA